This 249-nucleotide unclassified non-coding RNA is filed under the name Hevea brasiliensis (rubber tree). The record is from RNAcentral. Lineage: Eukaryota; Viridiplantae; Streptophyta; Magnoliopsida; Malpighiales; Euphorbiaceae.
UGACUUAUACAAAAGAGCAAAGGUUGAAUCUGUGUUGGAUUGGCAUCGUACUAACUUCCCUCGCGGUCCAGGUUCAUAUACCUUUUAUUCUGUUCUUGCUCCUACUGUUGGGUUGCCUUUAAAUACAAAAGCAGCAGCAAGAACUGAGAAGAUGUUUAUAGCAUGUCUUGCAACGAUCGAGUCUGUUUGGCUCCAGAAAAAAGGACGUUUUUUGCUUGGGAGUGACCAACCUUCAAUUGCAGAUCUUAG